GCCUUACAAGAUGGACUUCGCUUGGCCCUGGAGUUUUAUUUGUCUUUGGAGAGACAGGAAUCUCGCUAUAUUGCCUAGGCUGGUCUCAAACUCCUGAGCUCAAGUGAUCCUCUCACCUUGGCCUCCCAAAGUGCAGGGGUUACAGAGUUGAGAGCGGAAAGGAGCGGAGAAGAGUGCAGAGCCCUGAGAAACCCAUCCUGCCAUGUACUGGAGAGAAGACACACAGAAAGGAUGAGGUUUGAAAUCCAGGAUGCUAAUUUCCACCCAAAGCACCCAUCUUACUCAGUAACAAGUUUUGUCUGCCUCAUCUGAAGAAUGGGGGUGUUGUUGAGCCCGGAGUGGAGUGUUCUCGGCAAAGGCAAAUGAUGUCAAAUGUUUAAUUCAAACUGGAAAAAAAUACUUGUGAGUCUCUGUUUUCCCACCUAUAAUGUGGCCUAAGGAUCAUCAGUGUUGAAACUAUGCUUAAAGGGAAACUUCCUCUUUAUAGUCAAGUUCUGCUUUCUGAUUCAAGCCUCUGUCAUCUUCUUUGCCAGGAGGCUGUGUCUGGGGGCUGGGGCUGGG
Nycticebus coucang (slow loris) is the source of this 561-nucleotide long non-coding RNA. RefSeq lists it as uncharacterized. The record is from RefSeq and is a predicted model, not a curated record. NCBI's taxonomy places the organism in Eukaryota, Metazoa, Chordata, Mammalia, Primates, Lorisidae. The transcript has 3 exons.